Molecule: long non-coding RNA, 400 nt
Filed under: Prunus persica (peach)
Lineage: Eukaryota; Viridiplantae; Streptophyta; Magnoliopsida; Rosales; Rosaceae
Description: long non-coding RNA (PPER_LNC005160)
Source: RNAcentral
UUGGACCAAAUUCGAUCGGCAGAUUAUUAGGUGAUCAUAGGACUUUCAGUUCAAAUAAUUUGGCCCAACAAACCAUAUAUUUUAUAUGGGAAGAUGUAGCAGCCAGCGGUUCUACCAAUACUAGGGGCAAAUACUAGUCAGCAAAGCAACAAUGGCCACAUGCAACAACCUUGGAACUCAACCUUUUAAGUAAACUAAUGUUGGAGGUGAAAUUGUCCAAAAAAAAAAAAAAAAAAAAAUGUUGGAGGUGAAAACCAUGAUCACAAAGAGACGAACACUACUAACCAGACAAUGUCUUGUCGUUAAUAAGUCAGGAGGAUCUCAAUGGUUUGCAACAAAUCAUAAUUUCUCUCUAGUGACUUAUUUCCUAAACUCUUCGUUAACUUCACCUUUAAACCCC